This 429-nucleotide ribosomal RNA is filed under the name Gemmatimonadota bacterium. RNAcentral's name for it is "Gemmatimonadetes bacterium partial 16S ribosomal RNA". It matches the Rfam family "Bacterial small subunit ribosomal RNA", at positions 355 to 776 of the family's 1533-position model. The record is from RNAcentral. Lineage: Bacteria; Pseudomonadati; Gemmatimonadota.
UAGGGAAUCUUCGGCAAUGGACGAAAGUCUGACCGAGCAACGCCGCGUGAGUGAAGAAGGUUUUCGGAUCGUAAAACUCUGUUGUUAGAGAAGAACAAGGACGUUAGUAACUGAACGUCCCCUGACGGUAUCUAACCAGAAAGCCACGGCUAACUACGUGCCAGCAGCCGCGGUAAUACGUAGGUGGCAAGCGUUGUCCGGAUUUAUUGGGCGUAAAGCGAGCGCAGGCGGUUUCUUAAGUCUGAUGUGAAAGCCCCCGGCUCAACCGGGGAGGGUCAUUUGAAACUGGGAGACUUGAGUGCAGAAGAGGAGGGUGGAAUUCCAUGUGUAGCGGUGAAAUGCGUAGAUAUAUGGAGGAACACCAGUGGCGAAGGCGGCUCUCUGGUCUGUAACUGACGCUGAGGCUCGAAAGCGUGGGGAGCAAACAGG